GAUGAAGAACGCAGCGAAAUGCGAUACGUAAUGUGAAUUGCAAAUUCAGUGAAUCAUCGAGUCUUUGAACGCACAUUGCGCCCCCUGGUAUUCCGGGGGGCAUGCCUGUCCGAGCGUCAUUGCUGCCCUCAAGCACGGCUUGGGUGUUGGGCCCCGUCCUCCGAUCCCGGGGGACGGGCCCGAAAGGCAGCGGCGGCACCGCGUCCGGUCCUCGAGCGUAUGGGGCUUUGUCACCCGCUCUGUAGGCCCGGCCGGCGCUUGCCGAUCAACCCAAAUUUUUAUCCAGGUUGACCUCGGAUCAGGUAGGGAUACCCGCUGAACUUAAGCAUAUCAAUAAGCGGAGGA
This 345-nucleotide unclassified non-coding RNA is filed under the name soil metagenome. RNAcentral's name for it is "partial contains 5.8S ribosomal RNA, internal transcribed spacer 2, and large subunit ribosomal RNA". The stretch from base 1 to 119 matches the Rfam family "5.8S ribosomal RNA", at positions 35 to 154 of the family's 154-position model. The record is from RNAcentral.